GCUCUUUACAACCAAUCUUAUCUGAUACAUCAUUCCCUCCUAUAUCCCAGACAGAAUAGCCUUCUUGGUGUUCUUCACACAUGACAUUCCAUUUCUGUGGCUUUAUAAUUCCUUGGCUGCUUCAAGACUCAAUACUUCAAGUAUUACUUUGUGCAUUUUCUAGUCUAUUCAGCUACUGAAUAUGACCCUCCUUGAAAUACCCAAUAUCUGCUUUGAAUAUACAAUCAACAAGCAUACAUUAAGCACUUAUUGUGUCAGAGGUAUUUCACUAACAUUAGGGAUGAAAAAAAAAGGCAAAAGCAUGGUACCUGCCACUACAAUGUAGGCUCUUUGAAAGCAGACACUCUUUCAGUACCUGACAGACACUAAGUGUUGAAAAAAUACUUGGUUCAUUGUAAAAUAUGGGGAUAGAUAUUUUAGAGUUUCUGUGAGAAUCAAAUUAAGUAUAAAAACUUCUUUGUAAACACCAUAAAUUGUGUUAGACUUAUGUCCAAGAAACCUUUCUAUGCCUGAUUUAUUUAAAAUUCUUGUUCAUAUAAGUGAUUUCAGCAAUUCACCUGAGGGAUCAGUUGCUAAUACACACACACACACACACACACACACACACACACACACACACACUUUCUGUUCUUAUGGUACAUUUUUUAGGAUAAAUUCCUGAGAGGAUGGACUUGUUUUAUCUUUAGAAAUACAAAGCAUGCAUGGAAUCACAUGUGACAGCAGGAAGGAAACUUGGAUCAGAUCAUAGAGAGGCAAAAGGAAUUUUAGAGGCCAUUGAGUCCCAUUUCAUUUCACAUUUAUUCAAGCCCAGAAUAUAUCUCGUCGAUGGGCACACAAUUUGUUGUGGGGGUGAGAUGAGAUUUAGAAAGAGAUUCCAAGCCUAGUACUGCCCCUACGAUAGUAUAAAUCCAAAUCAUAUAAAUCCAAUCCCUUCAUUUUAUACCAGAGUUCCAGUGAGGUUAAGUAAUCUACCCCAUAAUCACACAGAUGCUGAUGGAACUAAAACUCAUACCUCAACUCCAUGUCUAAUAUACUUUGCCCCCUGAACCACCUGUGCUAUAGAACACCAAACCAAAAAGUUAUAGUCUGUCUUUGAUGCUAAAAACUUAACUUCUCAGCAAACAUCUCUCUGCUUUAAUGGUAACUUCAAAAUGCCUGCUGCCUAAUAGUGUAUAUGCUCAAAUAAGAUGUAUGACCAGAAAGGAAGGCAAACUAGUCCUGUAGUAUGAAUGAGACCACUGAUGGUCAAUCCAUGUGGUCCUAUACCAACUUGACAAAAGACCCCCAAAUGACCCACAUACUCAGCAGAACUACUGUAUGGGAGAACAGAGAAGAGUCCGUAGAUAAAAAGAUAUAAUCUAUACCACAUAGAUGUUCCCUGUAAAUGUGGGCUCACUUUCAAAUAUUAGACUCUUAAAAGUCUAGUAUUGGGAAGAUAAGUUGAAGCAGUAUAGUAAUAGUAAUUAAAAACUCAUAAGUGGGUACCCACAUAAAUGAUAUUAAAGAAAGAAAAUGGUAAGGGGCAGGGGGGUUGGCCUAAUUUCUGAGGUCCCUUGUAGAUCUGAUGUCAUGACAGAAAUGAAGUGACUUGUGAGGGCAAGAGGCCUUAGUUGCCAAGUUCCUGUUGGCCUUUGGUUUUUUUCUGGCAAAAUCACAGAACUUUUCAACUCCUGCUAAACUUUUGUGUAAAACUUGCUAAGCAUCUACUUGCUAAAUAGCUAUUUUCCAUUGCUAUUUAUUCUGACUACCCCCAAAAUAGCAGCUGACAUUAUUUCUGCUGCUCUGAUUAAAAAACAGCAUGGCCUUACCCACAGGGAGUAGCAAACUACAAGUAUUUAGAGCAAUCUAAAUAACAAGUGUCAGAGAUUCAAAAUAUUUUUAAUCAUUUGAAUAUAAUAAAGGAGAACAGUAAUCACAGAAUCUGAGGUUAAAAAAAAAGGCCAAAGAGAUCAUUCAAUCCAACUUUAAGAGAUCAUCACCGUGACUAAAAGUUGGGAGGAAUCUUAGGGGUUUAGCUGGUCCAAAUUCCUCAUUUGAUAGAUGAAGCAAAAUUGACGAGAGGCUGUGACUUUCCUGGGGUGUUCCUGACAGCUAGAAUUUGAACCCAGUUCCUUUGGCUCCAAAUCCAGCGUUUUUUCCCGACAGAAAUAUCUCUGCAGAGCCUCCCACUGCUCAAGUGAUUUUAUGUCUCAUACUUAAUGAGUUUUUAAUUAUUAGUACUGUGCUGCUUCCAUUUAUCUUCCUAAUACAGACUCUCAGGAGUCUCUGAUAUUACAUUUACAGGGAACAUUAUAAAUUGCCAAAGCACUUUCCUUACAAGUCCAUGCAAAAAGGGGCAUUAAUUAUUAUGAGGCCCAGAGACAUUGCACACAAAUAGUAUCAAAGAUGGGAACUGAAGCUAAGUUUUUGAGCUAAAAGUCAAGUACUCUUGUACUAUGCUCAACUGGUAGGUCCACCAAGCAUGCCUCCAAUCCUUCUAAGUAACUUCUUUCAAUAAUUCAACAGUCUAGGUCUAGUACCCUAUAUAAAAACCAAUUUUCCAAGAACUUCUAAUUGUGGAGCAGAGAGGGACCAAACCCAGAGGGAGGUGGGAAUUUAUUUUAUUCUAAAGUGGCACGUUCCAAACAAUAACCUGUUAAUAACAUGCAUAGUUUUUCAUUAACACCAAGAGUGGCUGCCAUUAGGUCAAUGACAAAUUCUGGGAAGAGAGAAUUAGAAUUGCAGCUCUGCUUACAUUAACACUCCACUUCCCUCUGGUGCCAUAAGUAUAUAGAAGCACACAGGGUUUAGACAAUAUACUCAUAUACUGGGAUCUGUAGUAGGAGUUGAUUUAUGUGUAUGCCUGAAUUUCUGAAAUGCAUGUAUUUCAGUCUCACAUGCAACAAACACCACCCCCCACUUGCUCUCAAUCUCUGCUUAUCAAAAAACUACUUAUCUUUGAAUAUCUACUUCUAAGAGUUUCUCUCCUCCCUGACACUUCCCUGAUGAUUCCCUGAGUUAGAGGUGAUGUUAGCCUCUUCUGAAAUACAAUGCAUCCAUUCCUAUGCCAAAUAUCUUAUCUUAUGGUUGUGUGCCUAUCUUAAAUUUUCUGGCUAUAAUGGCUUUAAGGACUUCAUUGGAAGGAAGCAUGCCUUGUACAUUUAUGAGGUAAACAUGCUUCCAGGUUCACUCUGAAAAGAGCUUCCCAAUGAAUUCUGGUGGAUUUUGCCAAGUUUAUUUUGUCACAGCAAAGACAAAAGAUUGGAAGGGGAUUGGCAGGGUGGGAACGGUGGACUGCUUUACCAUUAGUCUGCUAACUAUGC
This 3302-nucleotide long non-coding RNA is filed under the name Sarcophilus harrisii (Tasmanian devil). RNAcentral's name for it is "lncRNA (ENSSHAG00000030504.1)". The record is from RNAcentral. Lineage: Eukaryota; Metazoa; Chordata; Mammalia; Dasyuromorphia; Dasyuridae.